CGCACGGGUGCGUAACGCGUAUGCAACCUACCUUCAUCUGGGGGAUAGCCCGGAGAAAUCCGGAUUAAUACCGCAUAAAAUCACAGCACUGCAUAGUGUAAUGAUCAAACAUUUAUGGGAAGAAGAUGGGCAUGCGUGUCAUUAGCUAGUUGGCGGGGUAACGGCCCACCAAGGCGACGAUGACUAGGGGAUCUGAGAGGAUGGCCCCCCACACUGGUACUGAGACACGGACCAGACUCCUACGGGAGGCAGCAGUAAGGAAUAUUGGUCAAUGGAGGCAACUCUGAACCAGCCAUGCCGCGUGCAGGAAGACUGCCCUAUGGGUUGUAAACUGCUUUUAUCCGGGAAUAAACCUGCUUACGUGUAAGUAGCUGAAUGUACCGGAAGAAUAAGGAUCGGCUAACUCCGUGCCAGCAGCCGCGGUAAUACGGAGGAUCCAAGCGUUAUCCGGAUUUAUUGGGUUUAAAGGGUGCGUAGGCGGCCUGUUAAGUCAGGGGUGAAAGACGGUAGCUCAACUAUCGCAGUGCCCUUGAUACUGAUGGGCUUGAAUGGACUAGAGGUAGGCGGAAUGAGACAAGUAGCGGUGAAAUGCAUAGAUAUGUCUCAGAACACCGAUUGCGAAGGCAGCUUACUAUGGUCUUAUUGACGCUGAGGCACGAAAGCGUGGGGAUCAAACAGGAUUAGAUACCCUGGUAGUCCACGCCCUAAACGAUGAACACUCGCUGUUGGCGAUACACAGUCAGCGGCUAAGCGAAAGCGUUAAGUGUUCCACCUGGGGAGUACGCUCGCAAGAGUGAAACUCAAAGGAAUUGACGGGGGCCCGCACAAGCGGAGGAGCAUGUGGUUUAAUUCGAUGAUACGCGAGGAACCUUACCCGGGCUUGAAAGUUAGUGAAUGAUCUAGAGAUAGAUCAGUGAGCAAUCACACGAAACUAGGUGCUGCAUGGCUGUCGUCAGCUCGUGCCG
RNAcentral lists this ribosomal RNA (965 nucleotides) under Pedobacter sp. CB 286400. Its description in RNAcentral is "bacterial SSU rRNA". It matches the Rfam family "Bacterial small subunit ribosomal RNA", at positions 99 to 1067 of the family's 1533-position model. Lineage: Bacteria; Pseudomonadati; Bacteroidota; Sphingobacteriia; Sphingobacteriales; Sphingobacteriaceae. The record is from RNAcentral.